Non-coding RNA from Schistosoma mansoni, 45 nucleotides. The record is from Rfam. Lineage: Eukaryota; Metazoa; Platyhelminthes; Trematoda; Strigeidida; Schistosomatidae.
AUCCAGCUGACGAGUCUCAAAUAGGACGAAACGCGCAUUCUGGAU